This 468-nucleotide ribosomal RNA is filed under the name uncultured bacterium. RNAcentral describes it as "partial 16S ribosomal RNA". It matches the Rfam family "Bacterial small subunit ribosomal RNA", at positions 28 to 507 of the family's 1533-position model. The record is from RNAcentral.
GACGAACGCUGGCGGCGUGCUUAACACAUGCAAGUCGAACGGAAAGGCCCUGCUUUUGUGGGGUGCUCGAGUGGCGAACGGGUGAGUAACACGUGAGUAAACUGCCCUUGACUUUGGGAUAACUUCAGGAAACAGGGGCUAAUACCGGAUAGGAGCUCCUGCUGCAUGGGGGGGGUUGGAAAGUUUCGGCGGUUGGGGCUGGUCUCGCGGGUUAUCAGCUUGUUGGUGGGGUAGUGGCUUACCAAGGCUUUGACGGGUAGCCGGCCUGAGAGGGUGACCGGCCACAUUGGGACUGAGAUACGGCGCAGACUCCUACGGGAGGCAGCAGUGGGGAAUAUUGCACAAUGGGCGGAAGCCUGAUGCAGCAACGCCGCGUGCGGGAUGACGGCCUUCGGGUGGUAAACCGCUUUCGCCUGUGACGAAGCGUGAGUGACGGUAAUGGGUAAAGAAGCACCGGCUAACUACGUG